Molecule: ribosomal RNA, 468 nt
Filed under: uncultured bacterium
Lineage: Bacteria
Description: partial 16S ribosomal RNA
Rfam family: Bacterial small subunit ribosomal RNA
Source: RNAcentral
GACGAACGCUGGCGGCGUGCUUAACACAUGCAAGUCGAACGGAAAGGCCCUGCUUUUGUGGGGAGCUCGAGUGGCGAACGGGUGAGUAACACGUGAGUAACCUGCCCUUGACUUUGGGAUAACUUCAGGAAACUGGGGCUAAUACCGGAUAGGAGCUCCUGCUGCAUGGUGGGGGUUGGAAAGUUUCGGCGGUUGGGGAUGGACUCGCGGCUUAUCAGCUUGUUGGUGGGGUAGUGGCUUACCAAGGCUUUGACGGGUAGCCGGCCUGAGAGGGUGACCGGCCACAUGGGGACUGAGAUACGGCCCAGACUCCUACGGGAGGCAGCAGUGGGGAAUAUGGCACAAUGGGCGGAAGCCUGAUGCAGCAACGCCGCGUGCGGGAUGACGGCCUUCGGGUUGUAAACCGCUUUCGCCUGUGACGAAGCGUGAGUGACGGUAAUGGGUAAAGAAGCACCGGCUAACUACGUG